This 505-nucleotide ribosomal RNA is filed under the name uncultured bacterium. RNAcentral describes it as "bacterial SSU rRNA". It matches the Rfam family "Bacterial small subunit ribosomal RNA", at positions 28 to 504 of the family's 1533-position model. The record is from RNAcentral.
GACGAACGCUGGCGGCGUGCCUAAUACAUGCAAGUUGAACGCUUGAUUUUCACCGAAGCUUGCUUCACCGAAAAUCAAGAGUAGCGAACGGGUGAGUAACGCGUGGGUAACCUACCUAUCAGCGGGGGAUAACUAUUGGAAACGAUAGCUAAUACCGCAUAACAAUGUUGGAUGCAUAUUCGACAUUUGAAAGUACCAACUGGUACACUGAGAGAUGGACCCGCGUUGUAUUAGCUAGUUGGUAGUGUAAUGGACUACCAAGGCGAUGAUACAUAGCCGACCUGAGAGGGUGAUCGGCCACAUUGGGACUGAGACACGGCCCAAACUCCUACGGGAGGCAGCAGUAGGGAAUCUUCGGCAAAUGGACGAAAGUCUGACCGAGCAACGCCGCGUGAGUGAAGAAGGUUUCGGAUCGGUAAAACUCUAGUUGUUAGAGAAGAACGUUGCAUAGAGUGGAAAAUUAUAGCAAGUGACGGUAUCUAACCAGAAAGGGACGGCUAACUAC